UCAUUUUAUUAUCAUCACUCACGGUUCUAGGGUCGGCUGAGCUCAGCGAGGCUAUCCUUUCUCGGGGACUUUGACGAAGUUACACUGAGAUGGUGCUUGGGCUGGAGCCAUCCUGUGGCUCAGCUCGUGUGCCUGGAGAAGGCUGUGACUUUACACCUUUACACCUAUGUAUAUGGUCUCUCUGUGUGGUCCUUCUGUUUCCUCAUGGCUUGGUGACAAAGCUUGAAGAAAACCAGGAAAAGAAAUGUAUGCGGACGCUCUGCUAGAGCCCAUCCUGAGACCUCAGAAAGAACCUGCGAGGGAGAGAACCUGAAUGGGAGCCCCGCCUCAGAACACUCAGCUCAACUCCCCAGCUCAACUUCAUGUUUUUGAGCUACCUGCAGGUUUGCCUACAGCUAGAGCAAUUACAACGACAUGUCACAUCUUAUGAACAUGCCACUCUCUAUCAGCUUACUGUCCAUGGAUUUGGGUUUCUUUCCGGUUCAUCACUGUUAGAAAAACGUCUGCAGUCCAUGCCCCCCCCUUCUGUGCACACAGCCAAGAGUUUUUCUAUAUUAGAUUCGUGGAAGUGGAACGUUGAGAUCUCAGGGCAUGAACAUUUUCAACUGGAUUGAGUAGCACGAGUGGGUUUCCAGGGCAGUUGAACCGAUUUCCACUCCCAUCAGCUGUCUCUGUGAGAGUUCCUGUGGUAGCUCAUCCUCACCAAUAUGUUACCUGUUUUCAUGAUCCAUAAAAAUAAGGGUCAGAAUGACAUACCUCUGUAUUUUUUUCUUUAUAUAAAGCUAACCACAGAGCAGAUGCUUGAUAAAAAUUCUCUGGUUGCUUGAUUUUGGAGACUACAUUCUAGAAAAUUCAAGGCUCCUAUGCUUAAAC
Long non-coding RNA from Mustela erminea (ermine), 873 nucleotides. RefSeq lists it as uncharacterized. NCBI's taxonomy places the organism in Eukaryota, Metazoa, Chordata, Mammalia, Carnivora, Mustelidae. The record is from RefSeq and is a predicted model, not a curated record. The transcript is spliced from 3 exons.